AGUGAACGCUGGCGGUAGGCCUAACACAUGCAAGUCGAACGGCAGCACAGUAAGAGCUUGCUCUUACGGGUGGCGAGUGGCGGACGGGUGAGGAAUACAUCGGAAUCUACUUUUUCGUGGGGGAUAACGUAGGGAAACUUACGCUAAUACCGCAUACGACCUACGGGUGAAAGCAGGGGAUCUUCGGACCUUGCGCGAUUGAAUGAGCCGAUGUCGGAUUAGCUAGUUGGCGGGGUAAAGGCCCACCAAGGCGACGAUCCGUAGCUGGUCUGAGAGGAUGGUCAGCCCAACUGGAACUGGGACACGGUCCAGACCUCUACGGGGGGGAGCAGUGGGGGAUAUUGGACAAUGGGCGCAAGCCUGAUCCAGCCAUACCGGGGGGGUGAAGAAGGCCUUCGGGUUGUAAAGCCCCUUUGUUGGGAAAGAAAAGAAGCAGGUUGAUACCCCGCUGUUCUGACGGUACCCAAAGAAUAAGCACCGGGUAACUUCGUGC
Molecule: ribosomal RNA, 493 nt
Filed under: uncultured bacterium
Lineage: Bacteria
Description: partial 16S ribosomal RNA
Rfam family: Bacterial small subunit ribosomal RNA
Source: RNAcentral